This 253-nucleotide ribosomal RNA is filed under the name uncultured bacterium. RNAcentral's name for it is "partial 16S ribosomal RNA". It matches the Rfam family "Bacterial small subunit ribosomal RNA", at positions 524 to 776 of the family's 1533-position model. The record is from RNAcentral.
UACAGAGGUCUCGAGCGUUGUUCGGAUUCAUUGGGCGUAAAGGGUGCGUAGGCGGUUUGGUAAGUCUCUUGUGAAAUCUAUGGGCUCAACUCAUAGUCUGCAAGGGAAACUGCCGGGCUUGAGUGUGGGAGAGGUGAGUGGAAUUUCCGGUGUAGCGGUGAAAUGCGUAGAUAUCGGAAGGAACACCUGUGGCGAAAGCGGCUCACUGGACCACAACUGACGCUGAUGCACGAAAGCUAGGGGAGCAAACAGG